Molecule: ribosomal RNA, 253 nt
Filed under: uncultured bacterium
Lineage: Bacteria
Description: partial 16S ribosomal RNA
Rfam family: Bacterial small subunit ribosomal RNA
Source: RNAcentral
UACGGAGGGUGCAAGCGUUAAUCGGAAUUACUGGGCGUAAAGCGCACGCAGGCGGUCUGUCAAGUCGGAUGUGAAAUCCCCGGGCUCAACCUGGGAACUGCAUUCGAAACUGGCAGGCUUGAGUCUUGUAGAGGGGGGGAGAAUUCCAGGUGUAGCGGUGAAAUGCGUAGAGAUCUGGAGGAAUACCGGUGGCGAAGGCGGCCCCCUGGACAAAGACUGACGCUCAGGUGCGAAAGCGUGGGGAGCAAACAGG